Molecule: ribosomal RNA, 764 nt
Filed under: uncultured bacterium
Lineage: Bacteria
Description: bacterial SSU rRNA
Rfam family: Bacterial small subunit ribosomal RNA
Source: RNAcentral
GCGGUUAUUUAAGUCUGGGGUGAAAGGUUCAGCGCUCAACGUGAACAGUGCCUUGGAUACUGGAUGACUUGAGUCUGGGAGGGGGAAGGGGAAUUCCUGGUGUAGCGGUGAAAUGCGUAGAUAUCAGGAGGAACACCGGUGGCGAAGGCGCCUUCCUGGCCUAAGACUGACGCUGAGGUGCGAAAGCGUGGGGAGCAAACGGGAUUAGAUACCCCGGUAGUCCACGCCGUAAACGAUGAGUGCUAGGUGUCGGGGGUAUCGACCCCCCCGGUGCCGUCGCUAACGCAUUAAGCACUCCGCCUGGGGAGUACGGCCGCAAGGUUGAAACUCAAAGGAAUUGACGGGACCCCGCACAAGCGGUGGAGCAUGUGGAUUAAUUCGUCACUAACCGAAGAACCUUACCCAGGUUUGACAUCGAGGGUAAGACCAUGAAAGUGGUACCUCUAGCAAUAGACCCGAAGACAGGUGUUGCAUGGCUGUCGUCGGCUCGUGUCGUGAGAUGUUGGGUUAAGUCCCGCAACGAGCGCAACCCUCACCGUAUGUUGCCAGCGUAAAGUCGGGAACUCUUACGGAACUGCCCGUGCAAGCGGGAGGAAGGUGGGGAUGACGUCAAGUCGGCAUGGCCCUUACACCUGGGGCUUCACACAUGCUACAAUGGGCGUCAACAGAGGGGUGCAAGGCCGCGAGGUCAAGCAAAUCCCAAAAAUACGUCCUCAGUUCGGAUUGCAGGCUGCAACUCGCCUGCAUGAAGCUGGAAUCGCUAG